AGUUAGGUCUGCAGAAGUCUGUCCGCGAGCUGUCAGCGCGGGCGGGAACGCCGCGGGGCGCGGGGUGGGCGCGGCCGACCUGGUCCCUGAGCCGGCCGGCGACCCCGGACCUCCCGCGCGCCCCGCACCCGACCGGCUCAGCCGGCCGGCAGCGUAACACGCCCUACGCUCGCUUGCUCGCCGGCCUCAGGGCAGGCAGGCGGGCGCGGGAGACCCCGCCGGGGCCGAGACUUGGGGCGGGCGACGAGGACCCGGUUACGGCCUCCUCGCCAUGUCCUCGGCCUGCGACGCGGGCGACCACUACCCCCUGCACCUCCUAGUCUGGAAAAACGACUACCGGCAGCUCGAGAAGGAGCUGCAGGGCCAGAAUGUGGAGGCUGUGGACCCACGAGGUCGAACAUUAUUGCAUCUUGCUGUUUCCUUGGGACAUUUGGAAUCUGCUCGAGUCUUACUCCGACAUAAAGCAGAUGUGACAAAAGAAAAUCGCCAGGGAUGGACAGUUUUACAUGAGGCUGUGAGCACUGGCGAUCCUGAGAUGGUGUACACAGUUCUCCAACAUCGAGACUACCACAACACAUCCAUGGCCCUUGAGGGAGUUCCUGAGCUGCUCCAAAAAAUUCUCGAGGCUCCGGAUUUCUAUGUGCAGAUGAAAUGGGAAUUCACCAGCUGGGUGCCCUUGGUUUCUAGAAUAUGCCCGAAUGAUGUCUGUCGCAUCUGGAAAAGUGGUGCCAAACUGCGCGUCGAUAUCACAUUGCUGGGAUUUGAAAACAUGAGCUGGAUAAGAGGGAGGCGUAGUUUUAUAUUUAAGGGAGAAGACAACUGGGCGGAGUUAAUGGAAGUCAACCAUGAUGACAAAGUGGUCACCACCGAACGCUUCGACCUUUCCCAAGAAAUGGAGCGCCUCACUCUGGACUUGAUGAAGCCAAAAAGCAGGGAAGUUGAGCGGCGGCUCACAAGCCCUGUCAUUAACACCAGCCUCGAUACUAAAAAUAUUGCUUUUGAAAGAACUAAAUCCGGAUUCUGGGGCUGGAGGACAGAUAAAGCAGAAGUUGUUAAUGGUUACGAAGCAAAGGUUUACACAGUAAACAAUGUGAAUGUGAUCACCAAAAUACGCACAGAACAUCUGACCGAGGAGGAAAAAAAGAGGUAUAAAGCGGACAGGAACCCGCUGGAAUCUUUGCUGGGAACUGUGGAACACCAAUUUGGUGCACAAGGGCAGGACCUCACCACGGAAUGUGCUACUGCAAACAACCCCACAGCCAUCACGCCUGAUGAGUACUUCAAUGAAGAGUUUGAUCUGAAAGACAGGGACAUUGGAAGGCCGAAAGAGCUGACGAUUAGAACACAGAAGUUUAAAGCAAUGUUGUGGAUGUGUGAAGAGUUUCCCCUCUCUCUGGUGGAGCAGGUCAUUCCCAUCAUUGACCUAAUGGCUCGAACGAGUGCUCAUUUUGCAAGACUGAGAGAUUUCAUCAAAUUGGAAUUCCCACCUGGAUUUCCUGUCAAAAUAGAAAUUCCCUUGUUUCAUGUCUUAAAUGCACGGAUUACAUUUGGAAAUGUUAAUGGCUGUAGCACUGCCGAAGAAUCUGUAUCUCAAAAUGUGGAAGGGACCCAGGCUGAUUCAGCUUCCCACAUCACAAACUUUGAGGUUGAUCAAUCUGUGUUUGAAAUUCCCGAAUCUUACUAUGUUCAAGACAAUGGCAGAAAUGUGCAUUUGCAAGAUGAAGAUUACGAGAUAAUGCAGUUUGCCAUCCAGCAAAGUCUGCUGGAGUCCAGCAGGAGCCAGGAACUUUCAGGACCAGCUUCGAAUGGAGGGAUCAGCCAGACAAACACCUAUGACGCCCAGUAUGAGAGGUGAUUGACUGACGUGACUCUGGAAUAAACCAGGGUGAACACAGGCCUGGACACAGGGCCAUCCAGGAGAGCCUCCUCACCAGCACAGAAGGCCUGUGCCCCAGCGCCCUGAGCGAGACAAGCCGUUUUGAUAAUGACUUGCAGCUAGCCAUGGAGCUCUCUGCCAAAGAGCUGGAGGAAUGGGAGCUCCGGCUCCAGGAGGAAGAGGCUGAGCUCCAGCAAGUCUUACAGCUGUCACUCACUGACAAAUAGACCUUUCAGCCUGUGAGCCUCUGCACAAAGCAGAGGCUGUGGGCUGUCACAGAUGCUGUGUCAACCAGGGCCCUAGGGCUGAGGGCCUGCACCUUGCGUGCGUGCAGCAGGCAACAACUGCCCCUUCUUUAUGCAGAGGUGCAGAACCAGGGACUCCUGGGCCCAUCCAGGCUGCUCCCUGGGGUGGAGAAGGGACCAGGGAUUGCAGGCCCCAUCUCCAGGCUAAGGGGAGGAGAGCAUCAUCACUUUCCAUUAGCUGUAUUGGCUUGCAGGUCACAUUUUUACUACCAGCUUUAGACAAAACCCCAAUCCCCGCAGGUUUGUAGAUAAAUUUUUAUCAAGGAGUGAUAACAAGACAAGUUAUUGCAGAGUCAGGGUGCUUUUAUAUAUGAGAGCAGCAGCCGCCUUUGUAAAGUGUGAUCUAUGAGAAUUGGAGACACUUCUUUACUGUUCACCAAAGAAAUGGGUAAUCUGUGCUGAUCUCCUUAUUUUUACCUUUUUACAGGGUUUCUAGGACAUUGUCAUUAUUCUUCCUCCAUCUCUAUCUGAUUCCAUUCCUUCCACACCCAGCUAAAGUUAGAGGAGAUACAUAUAGAAUCUAUUUUAGAUUAUUGUUAACUAUUUGCAUCAAAUUAAGAUACACAAAUGGCCAUGGAUGUUGCCUUAGCCUUAAACAUUACUAAUAGUUUCACAUCACCUCACUGCACGCAUCGAAGGAUCUGAUUUGAAUUUGUAAAGGCAAUUCUUUUGAGAGCAGGAUUCUCCAGGCUAAAUCAAAGGCAGCUAAUCCUGUCCCUGAAGGAGCAGCUAGGGGAACCUGAGGCUUGUUCUUGAAGUGGGCAAGCUGGCCAAAAUAUUGGAACACACAGAACCAAACCAGGUGUGUUCUACACCUGCAUGAGUGAAGGAUUUCCACGUAGACACCUAGGAAGAGCCCGCAUGCCCUAGACUCACUCCAGAGGAAGGAUUGAUUUGCAACCAGAAAGGGAGCUGAAAACCACGGAGCUCCAUGGCUCUUCAUUCAAAAGGGAAAAUAAUGAUUCCACGUUGCUUUUUAGAGUUCAAAUCAACAUCUUUCUGGAUAAAUCUAUUUUUUAACAAUCUUUUUAUUAUUUGUAAAAGAUAUAAAAACAACUCCCAUCAGUAGCAAUACAAGGUUAUACAUUUUAACCAGAUUUUCUCAGGCCUUUUUUGGAUACCUUUAGUAGUUAACUCUCUUUUGUCAAACCCUCUUGUAAAUAACCAUCGCACAACAUACAGAACCCUGGGGAAUACGGCCAAGGGCACUGCUCACUGUGGCCCGUGUAUUCAUUCCCACAGGCUGCACUGAAAUAACCUGGUAAACAACACCCUCCUCCAUUUUGCGUCUAUUUCUUCUAUUGUGCUUCUUUGGGGAUAGGAAGAGAAACAUAACUACUGUUCCAGGUAACGUCUGUAUCAUACAGUUAGUGUUGCCAGUGAAACGUUCCCAGAUACAAAGAAUUGUGCUUUUAAUUCCAUUUCACAAUCUUUUUUUUUUUUUGUCAUUGUCUGACCAAAAUUCCUUCUGCACACGAGGCCAGUAUAGGCAACGUCACAUUUGUUUGUUUCAAAUAUGCAGUGUGGCAUUUUGUUUACUUUGCAUUUACCGUGAGCAAAGAUACUUCUUGGAAUGGCUGCAGUGAGGCCGUGUCAUUGGCUCACAAAGGUGACUCAUAGGUAAUUUCUGUGUUUGCAUUCCACUGCUCUGCUCCCUAAGGUCCUUGACUUUCUCCCCAGGAAUUCACUUAAAAAGGGACUGAGCAUUGUCAACCUGUUGCAGUGUUUUUCAUAUAUGUGUUCACUCUAAAAAUGCAAAUAAAGACUGCUUCCUUAGAGGGUGCUCAUACAAAA
Pan troglodytes (chimpanzee) is the source of this 3975-nucleotide RNA transcript. It is a transcript of the gene named ankyrin repeat domain 13A, with no coding region annotated. The record is from RefSeq and is a predicted model, not a curated record. Lineage: Eukaryota; Metazoa; Chordata; Mammalia; Primates; Hominidae. The transcript is spliced from 15 exons.